AGAUGGUCCAUCUAUAUUAGCCACAUGAGAGCUUGAGGGUGUCAUAAGGUGUUUCGGGCUAAGCUCCUGCCCCUGUAUGAAAUGUCUCUCUCACCACCUUUUGCUUUGGUGACACUGCUCAAAUGGCCUUCAGAAAUUAGUGUCAAGACUUCAGAACAGUGGUUUUCAACCAGGCCACACCUCAGCCCUGGGCACGUGUAAUAAGGAAGAGGUGCAUGUGCCCCGGCAAGCCCUGUGACUUUAGAGUCACAUACACUUGAACACUGUGGGACAUGGGUGUGUCAGAACACUCAAAGUGCACGUGUUCGGAACCCCCAGCACCACCAGACUAGAAAGCCCAGCAAGACCCCAGAGAAGACUCCUCUAUCCCUUGUCGUUCACUGGGAGAUGUUUGCUUGCCAUGGGCUGGGGAAGUGAGAAGAUGUGGCUACCCUGGACUCUGCAGCCUGAUUUUCACGUCUCUUCUUAGACAGCGAACUUCCCUAUCCUUUGCUCAUUGAGGACACUGCCUUGCUAGCCCAUCAUGACUGCAGGAUGGCAUGAACCACACACACCAUGUCAAGCCAAGGAGUUCCUUCUCAGCUUGGCUUCCAAGACUCUUGCUGUUGGCUCUAUCCCUGGACUUCCAAACACCAUGCCUGAAGCAAUCUAUAAGCCAUUAGCCAAGGCUGCAUUAAAUCUCGACGGGUUCAUCCCUAAGUCCUUAGCUUUUAUCCUGGGUCGAUAUAAUAAACGACUGUCUGAGGGAUGUUUCUGCAUCUUCUGCAAAA
Long non-coding RNA from Peromyscus eremicus (cactus mouse), 770 nucleotides. RefSeq lists it as uncharacterized. The transcript has 2 exons. Lineage: Eukaryota; Metazoa; Chordata; Mammalia; Rodentia; Cricetidae. The record is from RefSeq and is a predicted model, not a curated record.